UUUCGGCUCUGAGAAUUCUCUUUCAGUGACUCAUAUUAUUGGUUCUGUUUGUUGUUAUUCCAAAUAUACCUGGCUCUAAUACAUCCUGGCAUAGAAAGAAAGCAUUGCUAAACAUAUCCAUGAGCAAGAGAUCUCUGAAUUACGUGCAUAUUAAUGUACACAUUAAUUUUGAAUUGUACUAUUUUUUCAGAGGAUAGAAUGGGCUCAGGAGGGGAAAUAAACCAAAGGGAGUCAUUGGAAAAGCUGAGAACUGAACAGGCAUAGCCACAUCAAAAAGGAAUCUAUUGGUUCCAUCUUGGGAUGCUUCUUGAUAUUUCACCAUUUAAGGAGGAACGAAAGCUGUUGAACUUUUUGGCAGACUUCACUGCUUUGUAUUGCUGCUCAGGCUAACUACAAGGAAGUCAACGGGAUUCCACAGUGGACUUUGCUGACACAAAUCCUUUGGCUCUACUAUUCAACUAACCUUUGAUUUCUGCUAAGCUGUUAUGCUUCUCUCCAAAAUUGAUCUGUUGCACUCCCCUCUCCACUUGAAUAUAGAAACUUCUGUUCCAGGGUUUUAUCUACAAGAUAAGCAUGCCUAAACAGGCAAUGCCUGGAUUAACAUUUGCUUUGGAAUCUUAUAUAGCCAUGUGCGCUGGAAGAGAGAGAAGAGGUUACUAUCACUCAACAUUACCCUGUUCACAAUCAUGUCUACUCAAGAUAUGAGAUUUUCAAUUUUCAUUCCUGGGAUGGAAAUGAAAAACUGCAAAGCCUGAUGACAUCACAAACCAAGAACAGAACAAGUGGUCCCAAAUAGUAGUCUCUAUGUUUACUGAUUCUGUCUUCUAGACAACUAUUAAAGUAAAGGAGACACAUUCUCUUUACCAUUUGAUUUGCCCAAAUCUUCUACAGCCCAUCCUCUUGUUAGCCAGUCAAAAUCUUCCACAAUCUAUUGAAUAAGAGAUGUAUUUGGGGGGGGGGGUUGCACUUGUCACACUCGAAACAAUGCAUAGUUUAUUUCUAAAUCACAUUCUUUAACAUCAGCAUGAAUACAGGUGAAGUUUGAUGGCUUUUUAAUGUAAUUCUGAGAUGUUUGUCUUAUUUUAAACCAAAGCAACUUGUUCCAGGGUAAAAUAUUUGCACUGACUUCUGUAAAUAUUGUCUCUUCAGUUUCUGUCUGUACAAACCAAGCUUCAGCCUUGAGAUUAGAUGUUUUAAUUCUGCAGACUGGCAGCCAUGCAUGUAAAACUUUAGGAAAUCUGAGGACAGGUCCAUGAAGCCAGAAAAACAUCUCUUUUUUAGAAGUGAUCUUUCCUGGCAAUAAUUUCUCUCCCACAAACUUUGCUUGAUUUCUCUGAAAGUAACUAUAAUAACAGGGGCAGAAAAUGGAGCAGUGAAAUUGAAAGGAGAUAGUUGUACAUAUUCUUUUUUUUUCAUAUUAAUUUGCUUUGCAAUUAGAGUCAGAACUUGUAUUGCUGAGUCCCAGAGGCAUUGGCCUAGCUGGAAACUGUAUCAUAUACCUGCAUCUUGCAAUAGGUGCUGACUAGAUUGUAAAAUAAAUAUUUCAAUGUACUUUGUUUUAUUAAACAAAAUAAUGAUCAUAACAAUAUAACAUGGUACAGCUUUCACAGAAAAGAAAUUGGAACUUAGAUAUAUUUGGAGAAUUGAAAUAAACUUUCUUGUAGUCAUGGUGUAAACAAAUGAUGCUACUUGGAUCGCCACCAAAGUUCCCUAAUUUUCUACACUCUGUGGUGUUGGCCUGUCUCAUACAAGGGAGAAUGUUGGCCACACUUCAUGGGAGACAUGCUUUUUAUGGACUAACUUAAGUAAAGUGGAAAGUUUAUAGCAGGAAAUGUCCACAGUUGUUUUAAGGUCAUUUUUCAAAGAAGAAAAGCAAAAAAUAAAAAGGAAGAAAUCCAAAAUGGAGGUUGCAUAUUUAAAUCUAAUGUCGUGUGCUUUGGUAUGAAUAGAAUAGAAUAGAAUAAAAUAGAAUAGAAUAGAAUAGAAUAGAAUAGAAUAGAAUAGAUCUUGGAGGUCUUCUAGUCCAAUCUGCUGUUCAAGCAAGAGACUC
Crotalus tigris (Tiger rattlesnake) is the source of this 2050-nucleotide long non-coding RNA. RefSeq lists it as uncharacterized. Lineage: Eukaryota; Metazoa; Chordata; Lepidosauria; Squamata; Viperidae. The transcript is spliced from 6 exons. The record is from RefSeq and is a predicted model, not a curated record.